UACGGGGGGGGCAAGCGUUGUUCGGAAUUACUGGGCGUAAAGGGCGCGUAGGCGGGUGGACAAGUCUCUCGUGAAAGCCCACGGCUCAACCGUGGAAUUGCGGGAGAUACUGUCUGUCUUGAGUCCGGGAGAGGAGGGUGGAAUUCCCAGUGUAGCGGUGAAAUGCGUAGAUAUUGGGAGGAACGCCGGUGGCGAAGGCGGCUCUCUGGACCGGUACUGACGCUGAGGCGCGACAGCUAGGGGAGCUAACGGG
Molecule: ribosomal RNA, 253 nt
Filed under: uncultured bacterium
Lineage: Bacteria
Description: partial 16S ribosomal RNA
Rfam family: Bacterial small subunit ribosomal RNA
Source: RNAcentral